AAUAGAUACCCGGGUAGUCCACGCCGUAAACGAUGAGUGCUAAGUGUUAGGGGGUUUCCGCCCCUUAGUGCUGCAGGCUAACGCAUUAAGCACUCCGCCUGGGGAGUACGGUCGCAAGACUGAAACUCAAAGGAAUUGACGGGGGCCCGCACAAGCGGUGGAGCAUGUGGUUUAAUUCGAAGCAACGCGAAGAACCUUACCAGGUCUUGACAUCCCAUUGACCACUAUGGAGACAUAGUUUUCCCUUCGGGGACAACGGUGACAGGUGGUGCAUGGUUGUCGUCAGCUCGUGUCGUGAGAUGUUGGGUUAAGUCCCGCAACGAGCGCAACCCUUGUUCUUAGUUGCCAUCAUUUAGUUGGGCACUCUAAGGAGACUGCCGGUGACAAACCGGAGGAAGGUGGGGAUGACGUCAAAUCAUCAUGCCCCUUAUGACCUGGGCUACACACGUGCUACAAUGGACGGUACAAACGGUUGCCAACCCGCGAGGGGGAGCUAAUCCGAUAAAACCGUUCUCAGUUCGGAUUGUAGGCUGCAACUCGCCUACAUGAAGCC
Molecule: ribosomal RNA, 553 nt
Filed under: uncultured bacterium
Lineage: Bacteria
Description: bacterial SSU rRNA
Rfam family: Bacterial small subunit ribosomal RNA
Source: RNAcentral